UCGCGGAAUUUUAUUUAAUUUUUAUUUUGUUGAUUUCACCGAGCUCUUGUGCAUUACUUCUUUUUAUUAUGCAUACGAAUAAGAAUAAAAGUUAUUUUGUCUUUUUUAAAUUGCCCUUUUUAAAACAACAAAAUCGGCAAAGGGUCUGCAAAUAGGUUCCAAUACAUGUAGAUUUACGUGGGAAGUAUAUUGUAACAGCCAUUAUUAUGUAUAUCUCUGAGUCUGCG
Molecule: long non-coding RNA, 227 nt
Filed under: Mytilus galloprovincialis (Mediterranean mussel)
Lineage: Eukaryota; Metazoa; Mollusca; Bivalvia; Mytilida; Mytilidae
Source: RNAcentral